This 465-nucleotide ribosomal RNA is filed under the name uncultured Acidobacteriota bacterium. RNAcentral describes it as "bacterial SSU rRNA". It matches the Rfam family "Bacterial small subunit ribosomal RNA", at positions 224 to 704 of the family's 1533-position model. Lineage: Bacteria; Pseudomonadati; Acidobacteriota. The record is from RNAcentral.
GAGGAAGUCGCGGCUGAUUAGCUAGUUGGCGGGGUAAUGGCCCACCAAGGCUUAGAUCGGUAGCCGGCCUGAGAGGGCGCACGGCCACACUGGAACUGAGACACGGUCCAGACUCCUACGGGAGGCAGCAGUGGGGAAUUUUGCGCAAUGGGGGAAACCCUGACGCAGCAACGCCGCGUGGAGGAUGAAGUCCCUUGGGAUGUAACCUCCUUUCGACCAAAAGACGAUAAUGACGGUACUGGUGGAAGAAGCACCGGCUAACUCUGUGCCAGCAGCCGCGGUAAUACAGAGGGUGCGAGCGUUGUUCGGAAUUAUUGGGCGUAAAGGGCGCGUAGGCGGUGCGGUAAGUCACCUGUGAAAUCUCCUGGCUCAACUGGGAGCUUGCAGGCGAAACUGCCGUGCUAGAGUGUGGGAGAGGUGCGUGGAAUUCCCGGUGUAGCGGUGAAAUGCGUAGAUAUCGGGAGG